RNAcentral lists this ribosomal RNA (253 nucleotides) under uncultured bacterium. RNAcentral's name for it is "partial 16S ribosomal RNA". It matches the Rfam family "Bacterial small subunit ribosomal RNA", at positions 524 to 776 of the family's 1533-position model. The record is from RNAcentral.
UACGGGGGGGGCAAGCGUUGUUCGGAAUUACUGGGCGUAAAGGGCGCGUAGGCGGGUGGACAAGUCUCUCGUGAAAACCCACGGCUCAACCGUGGAAUUGCGGGAGAUACUGUCUGUCUUGAGUCCGGGAGAGGAGGGUGGAAUUCCCAGUGUGGCGGUGAAAUGGGUAGAUAUUGGGAGGAACACCGGUGGCGAAGGCGGCUCUCUGGCCCGGUACUGACGCUGAGGCGCGAAAGCUAGGGGAGCACGCGGU